UAAUUUACUGUAUUGGUUGUCAACAGUGUGAUGCCAAAUACGUUGGCAUGACAACCAAUAAGUUACAAACACGUAUAUACGGACAUAAAUCUGAUGUCAAUCUCCUGGACAAAAUCACACAAAUAGAAAACACUUCAGACAAAUUACAUAAACUGAGCAAUCUGAGGGAAAGAACAGCAAUGAUGAACCACUGUGUUGGCACAGGCCACAGAUUUGAUCUGCAAAACGCCAAUGUAUUAGAUUGUAGCUUAAAAACAAAUAGACUACCAAUAUUAGAGAUAUGCCAUAUAAUGACAACAGAAAACAUAAACAAACGGACAGAUGUAGACGGGUUACACACAUGUUAUACAGGUAUCAUGCACACACUGAAAAGAUUAUCACACAGAAACAGACAUAGUAGGAACGAUCUUGACACCAAUACAACAGAAAUAGAUGAAGCACAAAUGAAUCAAAAUGACGAAUAACGUAGGCAGUAAAGACGAUUGAAGUUGAACAGCUUGACAGUGAGUAAAGUGUUAUAUAGAAUUGUGGGCGAAAAAACACAGUGGAGGCGUAUAAAUGGUAGUACUAGAUCACCAAACCGACCAUGCAACAACGAAACAUAGACAACACUACAGGCUGAAUGUUUUUGGACAGCUACGAAUAAUUCUUUAUCCCUGAGGAAGAUCCAAAUCGGGAUCGAAACGUUGGAGCCAAGAUAAUAAAUUCGUAGGCCAACUUAUUAAGACUGCAAGCCAGACCAAAGUAAAUCCAAAGUACUCAUAUCAGUCGAAAUCGCUAG
Aedes albopictus (Asian tiger mosquito) is the source of this 781-nucleotide long non-coding RNA. RefSeq lists it as uncharacterized. The record is from RefSeq and is a predicted model, not a curated record. NCBI's taxonomy places the organism in Eukaryota, Metazoa, Arthropoda, Insecta, Diptera, Culicidae. The transcript has 3 exons.